GCAGAUGUUUAAAAUGGUAUGUCAGUUGAAGAGAACGAUUGUAAUGACAGACAGACUGAAAGAACAAAUGGAAUCUAAUGGUAUUAACCUUAUAACUAUAGGUAGCCUAAUACAUUUUAUGUACACCAUGCUUCCAAAGUUCAAAUACACUUUGCAUUCAGUAGAAUAAAAAUUAUAAACAAUUUCCAGUGCGUAAUGCUAUAUUUUUCAAAAGUUAUAUAAUGCUAUAAUGGUUGCUAAACGCCAGGUUUUAGCCAGUUUAUAAUAGCAUAAACCUAUUCUGUGGUUUCCAUUAAGAUUUUCAUUGCCUUUUCUCAUUGGCAAAGCAAACGCUUUUGGCGUCUAAAUUGAAUAUUCAGUUCUAAUUGAGGGAUUAGGGAUACUUUUUUUUCACCCUAGUGCUACUCCUUCGGAAAAGUUUUCUGAUUCUGAAAAUAGGCACGAGGGCUAGUCUGGAAUUCUUGGAUUACAUCAUCCUUUAUGAUGUCAUCAUCAUUGGGUGACUUUGGCACGUUACCGAAUGGGUGAAGUCAGGCAGAAUUUCUGCUCUCGCUGCCCAGUGCAAAUCAUUUAAAACAAAGCCUCAGGGUCACUGUAUCCGUACGGAUAACUGUUAACCCCAUCCACUCUCCUUUCCUUUCAUUACUUGUCUUUUCAAGGGGACAGUCGAGAGAAGGUGACGUCUUCGUUAAAAAAAGGGAAUGGAAGCCUGUGUUUUUCUCUUGGGGGACAUCAUAAUGAUUUGAUUUACUGGCGGUCAUUUGAUCAACAGCGUACGCUCCACUCCCUAAACACACACUCCUCCUCGAGAAACUAUCAGCGGCAGACGCACGCAAGAAGGUGCAGGCUGCCGGACAUCUCGGGGCUGGAAUCACAUUCAUUCUCAUUAGACUGCGAUAGUGUCAGCUGGAGGCAGGGGAGGCACGAGCCAGGGUCAUAAAAACUACCUCACUACCUUUUCCCGCCAUUACCUCAUACAGAUCACAUCAUACCCAGUCAGCCAUUCUCCAGUCUACGCCGAAGCUGCACACUGGCGUAUGUUUUUAAUGUGCAUCGCUUUUCUGCCGGUCACUUUUACCAGCUUCUUGUCAAACUACCUUCGUAAACAGUGAAGGAAAUGGCCCGUCGUCAGCCUUCAAGCAUAAGCAGUUUUCAACAGGUUUUGAGGUUGGCGACAGUGGAGGUCAAUAGAGAUGGCUCCAUGAGAUGAACUGGCUCGCUCCCCAGAGACAUGCGUUCUCAGUGAGGCCCAGUGAUAGAUGAAGUGUGUGAGGGAUCGGUUCGGGCCCGUGUUCAAUCAAACUUCAUGGCUUACAUUACAGUGGAUGAUGCAUGGGCACUUCUUUGGACCUGUUUUAUGUUCUGUAGGCCCAGGAGCGUGGCAUUGUUUGCACUGGCCAUCCAAGAUGUAGAUGAGUUUGUUUCGUCAUCAGAACAGAUUUGGAGAAAUUACAUUAAUUGCUCACCAAUGGAUUCUCUGCAGUGAAUGGGUGCCAUCAUAAUGAGAGUCCAAACAGCUGAUAAAAACAUUACAAUAGUCCACAUGACACCUGUCCAUCAAUUAAUGUCUUAUGAAAUCUUGUUUUCGUAAGAAACAAAUCCAUCAAGAUAUUUCAACCAUUGCUUCCUGCUGAAAUACUAGCUGAGUACUCUAUCCAUAAUAUUGAUUUCUCCAGUGAAACCACAUCAUCUGAAUCAGGAGAGAAAUAUGCACAAAAUCAACAAUUGCUAGUAAAUUUCACAAUUAACUACAAGAAAUGGCAAGUAACACAUUGAAUUAAAUGUGAAUUUUUAAAGUUUUUUAUAUAUAAAAC
Cyprinus carpio carpio is the source of this 1814-nucleotide long non-coding RNA. The record is from Ensembl. NCBI's taxonomy places the organism in Eukaryota, Metazoa, Chordata, Actinopteri, Cypriniformes, Cyprinidae.